UGUGAUGGCGCCCGCUGGGACAGGAAGACCAAACGUCUGGCCGAGUCGUACCCCAAAGUGUUGCAUGACACCAUGCCGGUGAUGUGGUUGAAGCCCAUCAAGCGUCUGGACAUUCCCGAACGGAUGUGCUACCUGUCGCCCGUCUACAAGACCAGCGAGCGACGAGGCACGCUGUCCACCACCGGCCACUCCACCAACUACGUCAUCGCCAUGACGCUCAACACGGACGUGGACGCCGAGCACUGGAUCAGACGGGGGGUGGCGCUCCUUUGUCAGCUCAGCUCCUGAAGAAAACCUUUCAUGUUUUCGCCAUCGUCUGGAUUGGGAUGGCACUGUCGAUUUGUUUGCAGCGUUUCGUCGGACCAAACCGGUGACUGAAUCCUAAUCACGUGAUGGCAAUUUAAAAACAUGUCCCAUAAGGGAAAAAAA
Molecule: long non-coding RNA, 429 nt
Organism: Hippocampus comes (tiger tail seahorse)
Lineage: Eukaryota; Metazoa; Chordata; Actinopteri; Syngnathiformes; Syngnathidae
Exons: 2
Source: RefSeq, a predicted model, not a curated record